This 490-nucleotide ribosomal RNA is filed under the name uncultured bacterium. RNAcentral's name for it is "partial 16S ribosomal RNA". It matches the Rfam family "Bacterial small subunit ribosomal RNA", at positions 28 to 507 of the family's 1533-position model. The record is from RNAcentral.
GAUGAACGCUAGCUACAGGCUUAACACAUGCAAGUCGCGGGGCAGCAUGGGGGUUGCUUGCAAUCCCCGAUGGCGGCCGGCGCACGGGUGAGUAACGCGUAUCCAACCUGCCCUUCACCACGGGAUAACCCGGCGAAAGUCGGACUAAUACCGUAUGUUGUCCAUUGACGGCAUCCGAUUUGGACGAAAGGUUUGGCGGUGAAGGAUGGGGAUGCGUCCGAUUAGCUGGACGGCGGGGUGACGGCCCACCGUGGCGACGAUCGGUAGGGGUUCUGAGAGGAAGGUCCCCCACACUGGAACUGAGACACGGUCCAGACUCCUACGGGAGGCAGCAGUGAGGAAUAUUGGGCAAUGGGCGUAAGCCUGAACCAGCCAAGUAGCGUGCAGGAUGACGGCCCUAUGGGUUGUAAACUGCUUUUAUGCGGGGAUAAAGUGGCCCACGUGUGGGUUUUUGCAGGUACCGCAUGAAUAAGGACCGGCUAAUUCCGUG